CAAUAGCGUAUAUUUAAGUUGUUGCAGUUAAAAGGCUCGUAGUUGGAUUUUGGGUCGGGGGCACCGGUCCGCCGUUCCGGUGUGCACUGGUGGCCCCUUCCUUUCUGCCGGGGACGUGCGUCGCACUUAAUUGGGUGGCGUUCGGAGUCGGCGUUGUUACUUUGAAAAAAUUAGAGUGUUCAAAGCAAGCCAUCGCUCUGAAUACAUUAGCAUGGAAUAACAUGAUAGGACUCCGGUCUUAUUUUGUUGGUUUCCGAGACUGGAGUAAUGAUUAAGAGGGACAGUCGGGGGCAUCCGUAUUUCAUUGUCAGAGGUGAAAUUCUUGGAUUUAUGAAAGACGAACUUCUGCGAAAGCAUUUGCCAAGGAUGUUUUCAUUAA
RNAcentral lists this ribosomal RNA (379 nucleotides) under uncultured eukaryote. RNAcentral's name for it is "partial 18S ribosomal RNA". It matches the Rfam family "Eukaryotic small subunit ribosomal RNA", at positions 592 to 976 of the family's 1831-position model. The record is from RNAcentral.